Long non-coding RNA from Leopardus geoffroyi (Geoffroy's cat), 4392 nucleotides. RefSeq lists it as uncharacterized. The transcript has 9 exons. The record is from RefSeq and is a predicted model, not a curated record. NCBI's taxonomy places the organism in Eukaryota, Metazoa, Chordata, Mammalia, Carnivora, Felidae.
GCUCCCCGCGCCGCAGUCGCGGCCAGCCAGAGGCAGAGGCAGAGCGAGAGGGGGCGCGGGAGGGUCCGCCGUGGGCGCAUGGAAGGGCCGGGGAGCCGCCGCCGCCGCCGCCGCCGCCGCCGGCCGCCGAGCGCGAGCGGGAGGUGGAAUCUGUCUGCCAGGGCGCACGCAUCCCUCUCCAGGGUUGAGGCCCAAGAGGGGAGCCGAGCACCCCACCCAGGUCCCACCUGAGACCCCUGAAGGGGCAGAAAAGAGAGAAACCACCACGAGGAGACCGGACAGCGAGCCAGGGACCCGCCGGAGGACGUGUAAGGGGUUUGAGACUGUUGCGUUGCCCCUAAUCAGUUGAGAGCUUUGGGUAACGAGGGGAUGAAAAGAUCUGGCAAAUACUUCUCUAAGUGUGGGAGGGUGAGGCUGGAGCGGCACUGUGCAUUCAGGUGAGCCAUCCAGCACGCAACAAACAGGCGUUGUAAUUCUUAAAACCACCCACCCGCAUUCCAGACAAAGGACCCAGAAGAAGAGGUGACUGCUUCCCCUGCUCCCAUCCCUCCCCCUGCCCAGCGAUGUGCUGGUAAAUAAAUGCUGAACAACCAGAUCUGGAGGCGGGAGAUCUCAGCUGUAACAAAAACCAGUUUAUGUGGUGCCAGUGUUCCCACCGACCCACGGCAGAGCUGGGAAGAGAUGCGCGCACCAGCUCUCGGGCCUGUAAGGGCCAGCCCCGGCACACCUCUGCGUCAGCUCUUUGUCAGAUGCCUUCAGAAUGCGGCCAUAAUUCAAGGUGCACAAACAACCGCAGCUCCUUCCAUCCUGUUCCCACUUGCUGCCAGUUCUCUGUCUACUAUCAAAUGUCCCCGAGGAGAGAAUCUGUCACCAUCGUCCUUUUAGGGGAAAGCUCUCCUUGGAGGCUAUCUCGGAAGCCACUGAGCAGCCCAUAGGCUGGCUACCUCUGAGCCAGGUGUCCUCUCCUACUCCAUCUGUGGCUAGGAUGGACAGCUCACAUGCUAGACAACAUGGCCACCCAUGCUGAAGAAACAGACUGCGUUGCUACCUGCUUAGGGGGUUGUGGUCGGGGCGGCCUCUUUCGAAAGGAGUCUGUAAGCACGACAGGCUUUCAAGCGGUGGUCUCUCUGACAUACUGUUCUCAGCUCUUCAGUGAGAUCCUCUCGGCCACUACACAGAGCUUUGGGACAGCUUCUCCUCCACAUACCCCAAGGAACAUCUUGGGUAGGUGCCAACAACUGCAAACAGGAGAAUGGACAGGUUAGGACUGGAUAGGAUUCAAAAGCCCCUCAUUUAGGGGGAGAAACCCUAAGUUAGUACUUAAGUUCAGUGAACAUUUAUCAAGUGCCGUUGUUUCAAACCAAUAGUGAUGAUUGGAGAGUAAGGAAAUCAUCUCAUAGGAGGAUGUCAUAGAUGAUCCAGGAGAAGGGUUUCCAGACUACACUCAACCCAAACUCCACAGAUUCUGCUUUCCUAAUCUGGGAAGUAGAACGGCGUGACUCAGCUCUGCCGAGAACACUUCUAUAUUGGUAGAAGCGUGCCCCUUGCCUCGAUGUGCUGGGGUGGGAGUGGGGUCGAGGAGAACUAUUCUCAACAACGUGAGGGACACAGAGUCAAUGCUGACUGGCUCACGGAGACACCUGAAAUCUUCUUUUACACAGUGGAAGCCAUCCCUUUUGUUAAUUCUGGAGAUAGUUGAUGUAUUCCCAUGAUGGAUGCGCUACCUGAUUCUCCCAGCUUUGGAUAUGUGGCUGCGCUACAACAAACAAUAACUAUUUCGACAAGAUUUUCAAUAUUGUAGACCAUUAAAUAAUCCUCUCUAGACCAGCAAAGCUGCUUGACUGUUAGCAAGAUCGUAUCACAUAAAGUGAUAUAUGCUACGUCAACCAUAUACACGUACAGAAGAAAAGAGAGCGAAGGGGAAGGAGCGAGAAUGAACAGUUGAAACUGCACAGGAAAAUUCUGAUGGGAGACUUGAUUCUACUUUCAUUCAGUCUCUUAGUGCUUCUUCUGUCGAGAGCAUCUAACCCCACAGUGUGUGCAUCCAGUGUUUACAGGUGCUAGUGUCUCACCCGUGGAGGCUGAAAGGUCAAAACGACAAGGAGAAAGCAGCCUGGUUUCAACCCACUCCUUUGGUAAACAGAGGGGCAGACUAGGAUUCGGAACGGAUGAUCACGCGUACCCAAGAACAGCCCAUGGUAAAACCAGAAGGCCCACAGUGCAUACGGCUGGGGAGCAUUCUGGAGAAGACAGGUGGAGGAAAUACUAAGGUCAGCCUUGAUGAUCAACCCGUGGCUUAGCGAAGGCUGCCUCGGAGCAGAAGUGAUAUCAGUUUACCUAUCUAUUAAAUCACCAUCGAAAAAAGAAUAUCUCUAUUGAACCAAGGCACCAAUCACAAGAGUGAGAUUACUUUUCUUUAAAGAACACAAGUGAUUUUCAAGGACAGGGGCAAUAAGGAAGGGAUAAGGAUUGUGGGUGAUAGUCUCCGAUGCUCAGAUGCUUGGUCUCAGGCCACGGUGACCACCAAUGAACUGAUGGAUCUGCAUCUCGAGCAACAGCAAGAUAUUAUGGAGGAGGUCUUGUCUGUAGAGGAGAAAAAGGCGGAGGAAACUCUCACCUCAAAUGAGAUCAGGGAGAUGUGUAAAAUGUGGGAAACAGUGCAAUUUUGUAGAAAAGCACCACCUGAAUAAGGCUGUAGCAAUGAGAGCAAUGAACGUUUAACGACAAUGUAGUAUCACAUUUCCACGAAAUCCUCAAAAGGAGGCAAAAGCAAGUGUCACUGAAUAGGUUCCUUGUUAAAGCUGUACCAAAAGAAAAAGAUUCCAUUGAGCCAAAAGACAGCAGUGAUUCCGUUAGUGAUAGUGAAAGUCGUCCUACACAGUAACUCCCCUCUCGUCUCCCUCACACCAGCCAUGAAGGUUUUCAAAGGUUUCUAGAUCUACUCGACAUCUCAUUUUUCUAUGAUCCAGGAAAAUUUCUAAUCAGUUAUCAGAGAAUCAUAGAGAAUGCCAGAACGUUAUGUCAAGUAACAAUUAUGUAUUUUAGAAAGAUAGCCUUUUCAACUUAAGGAGCAUGUGCAGGCUUCCAAUGUCCACCCACUCAUAGAAAAAAAGGACAAGUAACAGAUUACAUCAAACUUCAGAACUUCUCAAAUAUCUAGUUAUUAUACACAUUCCCAUCUGUCUUGCAGGGAGGGAUCUUGGUCGGCUUAACAGUUUCAGGUAAAAUAAGCUGCAUAAUAGUAUAUAUUACAAUAAUAAAUGUACAAUGUUUACAUGAAAUAUGUUUUAGAAGCAAAAAAAAAAAAAAAAAAAAAAGAUGCAUCUGCAUCAAAAGGCGACCUUUUAAAAUGCCACAACUGUUUUUUACAUUCACUCUUGCAACAGGUCACAAGAUGGGGUCACUAAGCUCAGAUAAAUCACUAUGAUGCACAUAAAAUACAGAAAGAUUGGUUAUUUUAUAUAUAUUAUAUAUAUUUAUAUUCUCACACUUUAGCAUCUGAGACAUAAACUGAGAAUUUAAAAUUUAUUCUCUUCAGAUAACAAAUCAUUUUUUAUUUUUCAUAAACAUGGUGCCCACAAAAGCACAUAGGUAAGGCACAAUAGGGUUUUCUGUUACAGAACAGUGUGCAUCAUGUUUACUUAACCAGAAAACGUGCAUUAUCUGUGCAAGUUCAUGCUGCAAACCCAACACAUAUACAAUAAAAAAAAAACAAAAAGGAAACUGAGCUUUAAACAAAAUCAAAAUUGGUACAAUUCCAGCUGUUUCACAUAUUCAUUUGGACUGACAACAAUAUAUCAACAGGUUGUUUUUUAAAAAGCCAAUUGUUACAUUACAAGUAAACUCUGCUCAGCAACGAUUUUAAUCUGAAAUCAUAAACAGUAAUAAAGCAACUUUACUGAAACAAAGUAAAUACCGAGGCACAAAGCAACAGUCACUCGUGCAUUUACUAUAUUGCAAGCUUUCAUGACCCAAAAUUUCAAAUAUAAAUUUUCAAAGACACAUUUUGCUGCAACAAUGUGCCCUGCUUUAAACUUGACAUAGAACAGGGGAGCUGACAUUUCAUUAAAUUAUAAAUAAAUUGGGAAAAUGACUUACUCCCAAUAGUACUAUGACAUAGUCCUAGUAUUUAUAAUAAAUACAGCUUUUCACAAAAUACUUUUCCAAUAUCUGCCAAUUGCAUCUUUAUUGCUCACAUAAAUUUGAAUCCAUUACAACUGAUAUCGUAACUUUCACACAAAAUCAUACUCAGACAUUUUUAUAUAAAACUUAUAAAAGAUAUUUUAAACUUGUAUCUAAUACUUCCAGGUGUUUGGCUGUUUGAUCUAUGUGAUAGUACAGCCAUAUGUAUAUAUGUGUGUAUAUAUAUACACAUAUACACAUACAUAUAUA